CCUACGGGUGGCAGCAGUGAGGAAUAUUGGUCAAUGGGCGGGAGCCUGAACCAGCCAAGUCGCGUGAGGGAAGACGGUCCUAUGGAUUGUAAACUUCUUUAGGCGGGGAGCAAUGCCGGGCACGUGUGCACGGAGGGAGAGUACCCGCAGAAUAAGCAUCGGCUAACUCCGUGCCAGCAGCCGCGGUAAUACGGAGGAUCCGAGCGUUAUCCGGAUGUAUUGGGUUUAAAGGGAGCGUAGAUGGGUUGUUAAGUCAGUUGUGAAAGUUUGCGGCUCAACCGUAAAAUUGCAAUUGAUACUGGCAGUCUUGAGGACAGUUGAGGAAAGCGGAAUUCGUGGUGUAGCGGUGAAAUGCUUAGAUAUCACGAAGAACUCCGAUUGCGAAGGCAGCUUACUAAACUGCCACUGACAUUGAUGCUCGAAAGUGUGGGUAUCAAACAGGAUUAGAUACCCUUGUAGUC
This 461-nucleotide ribosomal RNA is filed under the name uncultured bacterium. RNAcentral describes it as "partial 16S ribosomal RNA". It matches the Rfam family "Bacterial small subunit ribosomal RNA", at positions 338 to 795 of the family's 1533-position model. The record is from RNAcentral.